RNAcentral lists this ribosomal RNA (403 nucleotides) under uncultured bacterium. Its description in RNAcentral is "partial 16S ribosomal RNA". It matches the Rfam family "Bacterial small subunit ribosomal RNA", at positions 28 to 526 of the family's 1533-position model. The record is from RNAcentral.
GACGAACGCUGGCGGCGUGCCUAAUACAUGCAAGUCGAACGCAGUGGGGACGGGUGAGUAACACGUGGGUAACCUCCCAUCAGAGGGGAUAACACUUGGAAACAGGUGCUAAACCGCUACUGAUGGAUGGACCCGCGGUGCAUUAGCCGGUUGGGGGGGUCACGGCUCACCAAGGCAGCGAUGCAUAGCCGACCUGGGAGGGUGAUCGGCCGCACUGGGACUGAGACACGGCCCAGACUCCUACGGGGGGCGUCAGUAGGGAAUUUGCGGCAAUGAACGAAAGUCGGACCGAGCAACGCCGCGGGAGUGAAGAAGGUUUUGGGAUCGUAAAACUCGGUUGUUAGGGAAGCGGUAUCUAACCAGAAAGCCACGGCUAACUACGUGCCAGCAGCCGCGGUAAUUC